GAUGAAGAACGUAGCGAAAUGCGAUAAGUAAUGUGAAUUGCAGAAUUCAGUGAAUCAUCGAAUCUUUGAACGCACAUUGCGCCCCCCAGUAUUCUGGCGGACAUGCCUGUUCGAGCGUCAUUUCAACCAUCAAGCCCUGCUUGUGUUGGGGUCCUGCGGCUGCCCGCAGGCCCUGAAAACCAGUGGCGGGCUCGCUAGUCACACCGAGCGCAGUAGCACAUCUCGCUCAGGGCGUGCGGCGGGCUCCAGCCGUUAAAGCACCCACCUUUCGCAAGGUUGACCUCGGAUCAGGUAGGAAUACCCGCUGAACUUAAGCAUAUCAAUAAGCGGAGGA
Molecule: unclassified non-coding RNA, 334 nt
Filed under: soil metagenome
Description: partial contains 5.8S ribosomal RNA, internal transcribed spacer 2, and large subunit ribosomal RNA
Rfam family: 5.8S ribosomal RNA (bases 1-120)
Source: RNAcentral